Molecule: long non-coding RNA, 6670 nt
Filed under: Sus scrofa (pig)
Lineage: Eukaryota; Metazoa; Chordata; Mammalia; Artiodactyla; Suidae
Description: lncRNA (ENSSSCG00000053672.1)
Source: RNAcentral
UACCUUUAGAUGAAAAUAUUCCUUAGCCUUCCUUCCAGACAACCAGCUGAGGCCUCAAACAAGAUAGAGAACAGGCAAACCAUUUCUCUUAUGCAUACACACACACACACACACACACACUUUCAUACAGUAUAACCACUUCAUUUUAGUGGGAGGUUUGUUACAGCUGCAAAUCGAAUACCUUAAAUUCAGAACAGUUUGUAUUAUUCUCUAUUUAUUCUUUCAUUUCUUCAUUGAACCAGUUAUUAAAAUUAAUUUUUUAUUUUCAAUCUUAUCAAUAUUUAGGAUAUUUUAGCCGUUAAUAACUUUGUUGCAAUUAGCAAAAAAGUCCUGACUAAGUCUUUGAAUAUUUUUGAGAAUUGAUUUACUGCUUACUACAUGGUCCAUUUAAUGAAAUAUUCUAUAUGUACUUAGAAAAGAUGUAUUACCUCUAUUUGUUGAUUUAAAGAGUUAAAUAUACUUUUAGGUUUUUUAAGAAAUUUGUAUUCUUCAAAUACUUUGUCUCCGGGAUAAUACAUUUUGUGUUAAUAACUCUGAGAGUAAUGUUAAAAUCUUCACAUAUCAUACAAGAGUUACCAAUUUCUUUUAGGAAUUCUGUAAAUUUGGGAUUAUAUAUUUUGAAGCUUUAGUAUGAGAUGAAUACAAGUUAUUUCUCAUAAUUAUUUUCUUGUAAAAAAUCCAAAUUAUUUGUGUACCAGCUCUUUUUUGGAUAGUGCUUCCCUGAUGAUUUUUUCUAUUUUUAAAAUUUUGAAUAUUUUAUUAGCAUUUUAAUAUUUCAUGAGUGUUUCUUGUAAAGAUAGAACAUUUCAACUUUUAAAAAAAUUAUGUCUCAAGUGAUAGUAUGUUUUGUGUCAUACAUUAAAUGUACUCUUGUUUCUUGAGAAAUUAUGUAUAAUUAUUUUAAUUUUCUGUGUGUGUGCAUAUGUAUAUGUGUGUGAAUCACUAAAGACAUUUCAGAAGUCUAAUUCUAAAUUUUCAAUUUUCCUUCUUACUUCUAAUAGAAAUGAUUAGUUUUCUUAUGUGUUUUUUAAAUUCUGGAUUGCGUACCUAAGGCUUAGCAGAGCACUGUUUUCCUCCGAAAAUAUUGUGAGGACUGUGAUGAGGUAGGAAUCUAUAGAAAGAAUUUGGAAUUGUUCUUCCAUUCGUGUAGAGCGCUACCAAGAAGUGAUUAAUUCAAGUUUACGUCCAUGUUUAAAGUGCCCUGGUUGAUCAGGUAGUAUGAAAUAGAACCUUCAGUUCACAGCUGGUAUGACUUCCAGUUAUGAAUUCUGACAGUGGUAAAGUUUAUACCUUCCUGGGCCUUGCUGUGGAAAAAUUAUCGAACGUUCUCCUUUGAUAAUAGACUGAUAUUUAUUUUUUUAGAACCAGCACCACCCUUUCAAUAUGUUGCUGUCCUUCCAGUGUCCUUUCUUUACAUGAAGUGUCAUUGUCAAAUCCUCCCCUUGCAGAGACAUGAGGGUUUAUCUUCUCUCUCGUUCUCUCAACAGGUCAUUCAAACCCAACCUUGAGCAACCGAGUACAAAUAUCUCCAGGAGCCGCAUCAUCAUUGUAAGUUUGCCACGGUGCUGCUCAAUUCCCGAGUCCUUUUCUAAAGCCUACGGUUUCUAUUUCUUUCUGCAAGUUCUGUGUUACUUUUAUACUUACUUUGGAGGAUAUUUACAAUAUCUGGUUCAUCAUGUUGCCAUACAUGGAAGUCUUAAUUUAUUCUACAAAGAAUAGCUGAAGUAAUCUUCUUCAAAAGGAAAAUCAAACUCCUUCUUAUGCCUUCCCAAUGAUCCUUGGAUUAAGACCAAACUUUGAAAAAAGACUGACCAGGCCCUGCAUGCGUAUUUCUGUUAAGCUGUAGCUUUAUUUUGCACUAUACUCUAUUUGACAUAUUUUUAAAUCCAGGAAUUAUAGUCUCCCAUCAUCAAUUUCAACGUUAUCAAAGCGCCUAUUUACAGGUUGUCGCUCCCUGGAACAUUCAUCCUUCUUUCAUUCCUCUAGUUAAUUUCCACUUCCCUCUGGAUCUCAGUUCAAACUUCACUUUCUCAGGAAAAGUCUUUCCUCAUUUGCUAACUGGGUCCUUUUUUUCCCUCCCUGAGAGCACUUGUAACCUCUCUCGCUGUUCAUCUGGGGUCAUACAUACACUUCAAAAUUCCAUAUGUGUGUACAAAAUUAUUUACUUAUAUCUGUUUCUCUACUUGAACUGGAUAUUCUCUGAAGGUAUGUAAUAUAUCUGCUUUUAUUUGUGCUUAUUAUCCCUAGCACCCAAAACGAAGCUGACAUUAAAUGCAUACACCAAAUACAUAAAUACAUAAAAAAAUAUGAAUGUGGACACCUUUUGAAUAGGACAUACUCAGUUGUCUAUUUUCCAGUCAGGUAGUAUUCCUAUUAUAAAGAGAAGCGGAGGUGCAUCUAGAGUUAGUCUGCUAUCUGAAGUUAGGAGUUUAAUUUUCUUUGGUUAGAGUAAUAUACCCAUCUCUUCUUCCCUUCACCUUUUUCAUUCUAUAGGUUGUAGUGAUGCCAUUAAGCAAUGCCAUUUUAGCAGAACCCCCAUCCACAGGAGUCCUGGGGACUCCAAAGCUGCAUGGAUGGUUGGUGUCCUGUAGCCUUGUGGUGAUGAUUACCAUAUAAGGCAGCUGUUCAAAAACAGUGACGACUUACUCAUGGCAAGAGUGUAUGGGAAAUAAGGUGCUCCUAUAAAUUCUAGACUCACUCAUAGGCACGGGUGUACAUUUACGAGUCCGGGCUUAGCAAAUAGUUUAGGUUCCAUCAGAUCGGCCAGGCACAGUCUCCAAAGAAGCAAACUGUGGGCUUUCUUCAAGCAAACAUCAUCGCCAGAAAUACACGAUGGAGUUAUUUAAGAAACUAGUAAGCAGCACAAAUGAUGGAGAAUCUGGUCAUAUGGCUAAAAAGUAUGGUUAAGAAGAUAUCUAAUUGUUUCUGCAGUUCUGUAGGCAGAUAGCAGAAUCCAUUCACAGGGAUCUACCUCAGAAAGGGAGGAAACGGCAAAAGCCAAAAAAGGGUUCAGGUUCAGGUUACUGGAGACAUUUUAUCAAAACUGUAAUUCAUAAUAGUAAUUCAGAUAGAAGUCUAGUGCCAUACCCCCACUUAUCAAGGAGGAGUGAAGAAAGAAGCAUGUUUGGGAUUGGAACUUGAGUGCAAAAGCAGUGUUAUUAGAAGAGAGACCCACUAAGAGUGAGCUGAGGUUUGGAGAUCUGCAGGUGAAUCCACAGGUUGGCACUGAGACACCAUGACCCAGUUCAUUCUAUUAUGAUGACUGACUCUAUCUUAAAUCCCAUGAGAUUGUCAGUAAGAUAUUUUGGUCUCAAUUUAAUGGACAGGAAAUCUUUAGUAUCUCUUCCCUCUUUGCUUUACCAAGUUAAUUCUCACCUUCUUUCACAUCUCAGUUCAAGUGUAAGUCCCAAGUUGGUCCCAAUCCCUCCUCCUCAACGUUUGCAUUAAUUCAUUCAAUAAGUUGUUAAGUUAUUUCUUAGCAUAUUUACUACAACACAGAUACUAAGGUACAAGCUAGUGAUACAGAAGUGAUAUAACAUAUUGUCUUUACCGUGGGGGUGUCUCUGCUAGAACACCUGGCUGUGGGCACCUGUGCAGAUGGGAGGGAACUGUGAGCUAUGAUUAUGUGUGGUGUUGGAGGGCCAGCUAGGGAAGGCAAAAGACAACAGAAAUGAGUUUAGGAAAUGUUACUAGAAGUAGCAUUUGCACAGUUUUGAAACUCACUAAAAAAAUAGCCUCCAGUCAAUCCCUGAGGUUUGAGAGAAGCAAAGGGUAAUAGCAAAGGGUAAUAGAGAACUCAGUGGGGUCUGCGGCUCUGUUGACUUACACUCACUAUUAAUUACUUUUCAUCUAUAACCAGGCUCUGAAAAACAGGCCUAUUUAGAAGCGGCACAUUUUCUACAUUUCAGUAACAGCUUGAGCGGGGCAUUUCUGACUCCUAAUAUCUGAAGAAAAGAAAUGAAUAAAUUAGUUGCAACAAGAAUCUGUAUGAGCAGUGUUUUAAUCCCAUCCAUCCCCACCAUCAACCUGGGAUGAGGUUAUCCAGCGGAAAUUUGAUAUUUUUGUUAAUUCUCCAGCUACACUGGUAAAUGUGCAAUUAGGCAAAACACUUUCCAUCACAUAGCAGGCAAGAACAUAAAGCACUGAUUCAAAAUACAAAAGCCCUUCCUGCUGUGGCAGGGAUCAUUCAUCAGGAUAAACCAGGUUGGAUCAUGACGGGGGCCUUUGUGCCAGAGCCUGGAUUUUCAUAAUGCGCGAGAUGCUUUCUCCUUGUAAUUACCCAUAAUGUUGCUGGGGUGAACUGGAGACACACUGCACAGUGAAUUAGCGAUCACAACUCUAUUGCAGGCCAUGGAAGGCAGCAGCCCUGCUAUUUCCAUCACACAGACUUCAGAUGCAAUUUUUGGAUCAGCACACCCUGUUCUCAUUUUCACUUUUAUCCUUUCUCUCCUCAUUUGCCCUGGGAGAUAUCCUUUGCACACUGUCAUGUCAUCUGCCCUCUGUGGGACUGUUAUUGAAAAUCAAUACUGCUACUGCAUCUAAACUUUCCCUUCAGAACAUUCAUCAUUUGCCUGUUAUGAAUAAUGAAAUAACUCCUUUAUGGGUUUAGGCAUUGCUUAUCUUAUUUCAGGAAUGACUUAAUCCAUCAAAAAUGCAUGGCUGUUGAACACUUAAGCAUUUUGCUAUGUAUAUGUUAUUUCAUGCUACUAUAAAAGAAUAGCAUAAACUGGGUAGCUUUAAUAGCAAAUAUGUAUGCUGUGCAGUGUGGAAGUUGGGAGGUCCAAGGUCAAGGUGCUGGCUGAUUUGGUUCCUAGUAAGAGCUGUCUUCCUGGUUUACGGAUGGCUACUUCCUUCCUAUGUCCUCAUAUGGUGGAGGGAGACAGUAAGCGCUCUGGGCUCUGAUCACAAGGGCACCAAUUCCACGAUAGCGGCUCCACCCUUGAGACCUCAUUAAACUUCAUCACCCUACGAAUAUCUUACCCCCUAAUACUAUCACUUUAGGAGUUAGGAUUUUGACAGAGGAGUCGGGGGAGGGGUGUAUAUGCAGUCCGUAAUACACCAGGACAGCAGAACAUCCCCACUCUGCUACAGGGCUGUCCAGGAGUUCAGAGUCCUAUGACAAAUUAAGUGACCACUAAUACACAAACCCUGGGAGACCGCUUUCAUGUUCAGUUUGUGAAUUUUCAAUAUUUCCUUCAAAGCCUUUCCUGGGAUUCAGAAAUAAAUUCUAUAGAUGCCAUCCAGACUACUUUAAACAUUUUUUUAAAGCUGCUAAUUUUGUAAAGCCCCAAGUACGUCUUAGCUAGUCAGCCCUUUCGCAUCUCAUUUAGGUGUACUUCUUUCUUGCUUUGCCAUCAGUUGUCUAUUCCUUGGGACCAAUACACUUUUUUCUUGAUCUCUUGUAGGCUAUUAUUUCUAUAUUUAACAACCUGGCCCAGUUUUUGCCAUCUAGCUAAAUUGAAGAGUUCAAGAGUUACUUUGGAUUAGCUCUUUGAGGUUAAAAAGCUUACCUGACCCUGCCUUGAGAGGUUUUUGAAGACUUACUGAGUUGGAAAAGUAAAUUGCUGUUCUCCCAUUAUCCAGGCCUUCCAACCAGAAACAAACAAACAAACCUGUGCUUAAUUCUCACCUUGCAUCCGCUCAAAUAUGAGUAGGUUCAAAUCUUGGUACAUAUUCCCUUUCAUUCUAAAAUUGCUACCAAGAACACUGACACCUCCAGAUGCUGUUAGCUUUUCUAAAAUUACCUCCGUUCUCUUUAGCAUUUACAACUAUAGAAAGAAAAGUAACAGGAUAUCCUACUGAGCUGAGAUGGGUGAGGGAAGGAGAAAACUUUAAAAGCCCUUUGUCCAUUUCUUUAGAAUUAAUGUAGGAAUGUGUCCUAUAUUAAAGUUUCAAGGGCUCUCUUAAAAACAGUUUGAAUGAGUUCAAGCAGCAAAACGCAGGGAGAAUAAUGUACUCUGGUGUCUUUUCUUAAAAUCCUCCUAAAAAAAUAAGGGAAAUUUGGUUUGCUUUCUCUGAUUGGUUUGUACAGAAGAAAUCUGGGAGUUCUCACAAUCUCUGAAUGAAUUUUUAUUCCAAUUUUUAUAUUUGAAUGAAAAUAAUUUCAACCCCAAAAUUAGUCUGUAAGCAAUACUGGAAAACGCUCUCAUGUAGAGAUUACCAAAUUACAUAGUAUUUUUUUCUUUAAAUAAAAUGCAAAUAACAGUUCCAUUGCUAGGGCAACUAUAGUGCAAUGAAAUAAGGCGUCAGUAUUACCACAAGAGAAAGAUGACGGGAAUUAUUAUUUCUAUUAUUUUUCUUAUAAAAAUAUAAGCCUUAACUAUGAUCCUAAUUUAAGCAUUUUAUAGAAAUGAUCAAGUGUCCUGGAAGAGAAAGCUUAGAAUACUUCAUUGGGUUUAUUUAAUAUGAAGUUUUCUUUUUUAAGUUUUAGUUCAAAUGGAGAUAAAUGGACACAUCUGGGUUAAGAUGUCUGAUUGAAGCCCUAUCAGAGACUAUCUCUUUCAUAACAGCCAAUGAAAAAAGGGAAAACCUCCAAAAUAUCAACAAUACAACCCAAAUUAAAUCAAACAAAUUAAAAAACAAGGAAAUAAAUGAAAUAUGCUGGAAAAAAAAUGAUCUUUAGCCAUUUUCAUAUCUCCUGAGAGUAGUACUCAUGAAUUUAAAAAAUUCC